GUUUGAUCUCUUUUGAGGGGUUAGAAACCUAAUUUUUAUGCUUAUAAAUGCGUAGGCGAAAACGGUUCGUCGAAACAAGAAUCGAGCGCGAAGAUAUCGCCAUUUGAAGUGCUAAAGGGUUAAACCUAACCCAACGAAAAUUAAGCGGCGACAAGACUAGCACGGGAUCGCGUCUCGAAGUGUUUUCGGCAUCACCUAAGGUGGGGGAGUGCCAUCCCGAAGUCAUCGGGCUACCUUCUAUGUCUAAGUUUAAUAUCGAUCUAUUUGCAUAUUGUGCAUAUUCAUAUAGGGCUAGAGAUAGAUGUUAUUGCUUACAUUUGCAUGCUAGUAGCUCAAUUUAUCUUGCUUGGUUGGUUCAUGAUCUAGUAUGCAUGAUGAUUAUUUCAUAAAAACCUAGACCCUAUGUGAGAUGAUUAAUGCUUAUGUUGCUAAAGAACUAGUGUGAUGAUGAGUCUAAAUGACGAGUGGCAUCUAGUUAGAAAACUAUGAUUGAGUGGUACAUGUUUGAUGUUUACUUGAGAUGACCAUAUUAGUGUAGUUGAGACACUAUGACAUUGGGUACAAGAAUUGUUGAUCUAUGCUAAGAUUACCCUCAAAGGGUGUUGUUGCUCGUGAGAUGAUCAUGCUCACAUAGCCUGUCUGCGCUUGGUGGGGUCGCUUCCCUCAAGUUGUGCGCUCCGGAGUUGGUCACUAGAGAGGCAGCCCUGCUUGCUGCUCGGAUAGCCGCUUGUUAUCCGCAGGCGUACUCGGGGAUAGUCCAGCUAGGCAUCCCUCGGAGGUUUUCAUGUGAGCCUUGCUUGUGAACCUAGUGUUCACUUGAAGAUUGGGUUACCCAUUGAGUCUUACCCAUGAUUGAUGUUCAUAGUAGCUAUUCAUUGUUCAUAUCAGCUUAUUUGCUUUCCUAGUAGCAUGUUCUAUAGCUUACUAUGAUAGUUGUUCUAGAUGUUUAUAGUAGUUGCUUACCCUACUAUUUAUUGUUCAU
Molecule: long non-coding RNA, 982 nt
Filed under: Ananas comosus (pineapple)
Lineage: Eukaryota; Viridiplantae; Streptophyta; Magnoliopsida; Poales; Bromeliaceae
Description: long non-coding RNA (ACOM_LNC031482)
Source: RNAcentral